This 104-nucleotide microRNA precursor is filed under the name Podarcis lilfordi (Lilford's wall lizard). Lineage: Eukaryota; Metazoa; Chordata; Lepidosauria; Squamata; Lacertidae. The record is from RNAcentral.
AACUAAGUUUGUUAUUGGUAUGAGCUUUCAUGUGCAUGCACACUUGUGUAUAUGAAGAAGUGCGCAUGCACACGAAAGCUCAUACCAAUAACAAACUUAGUUGG